AAACUCCUAGAGAGAACAUAGCUGCUUUGCUCAUGGGUGUUGAAUAUCUUACCAAAAUUUCAUAUGUGGAUGACACAGAAGUUUUCAAGGUUUGCUUAGACUUUUGGAAUUCGUUUGUGUUGGAACUAUUUGAGGCACACCACAAUUUGGAUAAUCCUGCUGUAACGGCAAACAUGAUGGGGCUGCAGAUACUUAUUUUAGCCUGUGGUUUUAUACUGAAUAAGUAGAUGCCUUUGCUACCUGGUAUGGUUGAUGGCCUUGGAUCACAACUGAUGCAGCGUGGCAAUUAUAUGCUGAGCCAAUGUCAAAGUUAAGAAUGCUUAUGAUUUCUUGUAUGGCCAAGCCAGAAGAGGUUCUCAUAGUGGAAGAUGAAAAUGGCAAUAUUGUUCGUGAAACCAUGAAGGACAAUGAUGUUCUCGUGCAAUAUAAGAUCAUGAGGGAGACUUUGAUAUUUAGAGAGCUUCGGAUGGCAACAAACAACUUCAGCAGCAAGUACUUGGUUGGAUGAUGAAUUGAAGGAUGGAGCAAGUUUCAUGCAUGAUUUACUUUUGUGUAUCUUGUAAUGUUUCAGUUUUUCAUUUUUAAAGUAAAAAAUGUUCAAGAUUAUAAAACUUUAUUAUGUUAUGCUUUCAAAUUUAAGUUAGAACUAAGAUCUCAUGAAGUAGACAUAUUCAUGGUUUGAAUUAGUUAUUGUUUAAUGUAAUACUUGUGGUUUAUCAAUCUAUUGAGAAUUACAUUU
Molecule: long non-coding RNA, 739 nt
Organism: Humulus lupulus (European hop)
Lineage: Eukaryota; Viridiplantae; Streptophyta; Magnoliopsida; Rosales; Cannabaceae
Exons: 4
Source: RefSeq, a predicted model, not a curated record